CCUACGGGAGGCAGCAGUGAGGAAUAUUGGUCAAUGGACGAGACUCUGAACCAGCAAAGUAGCGUGAAGGAUGACUGCUCUAUGGGUUGUAAACUUCUUUUAUAUGGGAAUAAAACAGGGUAUGCAUACCCUCUUGUAUGUAUCAUAUGAAUAAGGCUCGGCUAACUCCGUGCAAGCAGCCGCGGUAAUACGGAGGAUCUGAGUGUUAUCCGGAUUUAUUGGGUUUAAAGGGAGCGUAGGUGGAUUGUUAAGUUAGUUGUGAAAGUUUUCGGCUCAACCGUAAAAUUGCAGUUGAAACUGGAAGGCUUGAGUACAGUAGAGGUGGGCGGAAUUCGUGGUGUAGCGGUGAAAUGCUUAGAUAUCACGAAGAACUCCGAUUGCGAAGGCAGCUCACUGGACUGCAACUGACACUGAUGCUCGAAAGUGUGGGUAUCAAACAGGAUUAGAUACCCGGGUAGUC
Molecule: ribosomal RNA, 460 nt
Filed under: uncultured bacterium
Lineage: Bacteria
Description: partial 16S ribosomal RNA
Rfam family: Bacterial small subunit ribosomal RNA
Source: RNAcentral